Molecule: transfer RNA, 70 nt
Filed under: Camelus ferus (Wild Bactrian camel)
Lineage: Eukaryota; Metazoa; Chordata; Mammalia; Artiodactyla; Camelidae
Rfam family: tRNA
About the family: Transfer RNA (tRNA) molecules are approximately 80 nucleotides in length. Their secondary structure includes four short double-helical elements and three loops (D, anti-codon, and T loops).
Source: Rfam by way of RNAcentral
GGAAAUAGCUCAGUGGUAGAGCAUGUGAUUAGCAUGCUCGAGGUCCUGGGUUCAAUCCCUAGUACCUCCA